GUGUUCACUUUGGCGGUACAUAUGCUGAUACAGAGAAGAGUAACAUAGCCUCCUUGAGCAGGGAUGACAUGGAAAUUUGUGAAGUGUUUCAUAUUUUA
This 98-nucleotide small nuclear RNA is filed under the name Saimiri boliviensis boliviensis (Bolivian squirrel monkey). The record is from RNAcentral. Lineage: Eukaryota; Metazoa; Chordata; Mammalia; Primates; Cebidae.